UGUACUUUGUGUUUAGUUCUAAUUAGCAAAUGUUAGCAUGCUAACAUGUUAAACUACACAACAACAACAACCACCACCACCUCACUUGGCCGAGGUUGCUUUUGGAAAACAUAAACCCAGGCACACAGUGGAUAACAGCCAUGAACUUCAUGUUUCAGGCAGAUAUCACAUACACACAUCUGGAGGCUGUAACCAACCUUCUUGUACUAUCGACAAAUGAGCAGUUUGGGGACAAAGUGCCUUGCUCAAGGGUACACCAGCAAAGUUUGGUGAGUGUGAGAAGAGAGUUACACAUACAUCUUUCUCAACCUCAUUUUGACAGCAAGUCUGAGGAGUCACACUCACUUCUCUAACCUCAGAGCAGCUGGGCAUCAUGGACUCCCUGCCCUCAGAUUGGGAAACACCAGAGAAAAUGUCCAUUCUGGCUUUAUUCACAUCAUCUGUUAGAGGUUCCAGAGGUGGAGAAAUUGUGUCUGAAUUGAUUGGCUAACCAACACUGACACCUAGUGGUUAAUCAAGGCAAAAUAAUUAGAAAAGACCUCAGGCAUUUCAAGGGGAAAGUUUAUUUAUAUUUCAUCUCAAAUGGUUUUAGUUCAUUUAUAUUGACCAUAAUUAAUUGGUAUAAAAUAGUACACAGCGACAAAUUUAAAUGUUAGUGGAUAAUGAUAAAAUGUUGUUAAAACUAAGAUUAUCUGUACAUACACAGUAUCUGCAUACUACACACACACACACACACACACACACG
Molecule: long non-coding RNA, 745 nt
Organism: Siniperca chuatsi (mandarin fish)
Lineage: Eukaryota; Metazoa; Chordata; Actinopteri; Centrarchiformes; Sinipercidae
Exons: 2
Source: RefSeq, a predicted model, not a curated record